GUGAGGCCUCCCCAGCCAUGUGAAACUGAGGAAGAGGCAGAGCAAGACGGCUCAAUAGAAGCCUCCACUAAUUGUCCUCCCCACUGGAACACCAAAUUGAACAACUAUCCACACAAAGAAGCACCUUCGUAAGAACCAAAAAUCAGGUGCCAGACAGAAAGUCAUCUCUCUGCUCAACUGAGACAAAUGCAGAUUCAUUGAGCCAGACUAAGGCAUAAGUGACUAUUCCUCUAUGUUCCCCAACAUGUAAAUUGUGGAUUCAGUGAAAGGCUGAUUGAAGAGUCAGAAGAAUGUAACUUUUUGUCUCUUAUCUACCUGGAACCACACCUUAUCUACCUGGAACUGUCCCCUCCCCGCCCCCCCAAUCCCGCCCUGUUUUGAGUUGUCCUG
RNAcentral lists this long non-coding RNA (390 nucleotides) under Homo sapiens (human). RNAcentral describes it as "HSALNT0367232". The record is from RNAcentral. Lineage: Eukaryota; Metazoa; Chordata; Mammalia; Primates; Hominidae.